RNAcentral lists this small RNA (706 nucleotides) under Pan troglodytes (chimpanzee). RNAcentral's name for it is "retained intron". The record is from RNAcentral. Lineage: Eukaryota; Metazoa; Chordata; Mammalia; Primates; Hominidae.
AUCCUGUAUUUUCAUUUGCACACUUUGGCGCCCUAGUCCCAGAGUCCUGGAGCGGCAUACUGGGGGUGGCUGUGCAGUCCCAGCAUCCCCAACCUAGCAUGUAUAGAGAGCAUCCAUCCUUACAUCCAGCUGACCCAUGCCCAUGUGGCUGGAGGUUCAACAAUAACAUAAGUCUCUUCUUUGUCCUCCAGAUAUUUCUCCCUCGAGUGGCUGGGAAACUUGGCAAGAGACCAGAGGACCCAAAUGCAGACCCUUCAAGUGAGGCCAAGGCAAUGGCUGUGCCCUAUCUUCUGAGAAGAAAGUUCAGUAAUUCCCUGAAAAGUCAAGGUAAAGAUGAUGAUUCUUUUGAUCGGAAAUCAGUGUACCGAGGCUCGCUGACACAGAGAAACCCCAACGCGAGGAAAGGAAUGGCCAGCCACACCUUCGCGAAACCUGUGGUGGCCCACCAGUCCUAACGGGACAGGACAGAGAGACAGAGCAGCCCUGCACUGUUUUCCCUCCACCACAGCCAUCCUGUCCCUCAUUGGCUCUGUGCUUUCCACUGUACACAGUCACCGUCCCAAUGAGAAACAAGAAGGAGCACCCUCCACAUGGACUCCCACCUGAAAGUGGACAGCGACAUUCAGUCCUGCACUGCUCACCUGGGUUUACUGAUGACUCCUGGCUGCCCCACCAUCCUCUCUGAUCUGUGAGAAACAGCUAAGCU